AGGAAUAUUGGUCAAUGGACGCGAGUCUGAACCAGCCAAGUAGCGUGAAGGAUGACUGCCCUAUGGGUUGUAAACUUCUUUUAUAUGGGAAUAAAGUGGUCCACGUGUGGAUUUUUGUAUGUACCAUAUGAAUAAGGAUCGGCUAACUCCGUGCCAGCAGCCGCGGUAAUACGGAGGAUCCGAGCGUUAUCCGGAUUUAUUGGGUUUAAAGAGAGCGUAGGCGGAUUGUUAAGUCAGUUGUGAAAGUUUGCGGCUCAACCGUAAAAUUGCAGUUGAUACUGGCAGUCUUGAGUGCAGUAGAGGUGGGCGGAAUUCGUGGUGUAGCGGUGAAAUGCUUAGAUAUCACGAAGAACUCCGAUUGCGAAGGCAGCUCACUGGAGUGUAACUGACGCUGAUGCUCGAAAGUGUGGGUAUCAAACAGGAUUAGAUACCCUGGUAGUCCACACAGUAAACGAUGAAUACUCGCUGUUUGCGAUAUACAGUAAGCGGCCAAGCGAAAGCAUUAAGUAUUCCACCUGGGGAGUACGCCGGCAACGGUGAAACUCAAAGGAAUUGACGGGGGCCCGCACAAGCGGAGGAACAUGUGGUUUAAUUCGAUGAUACGCGAGGAACCUUACCCGGGCUUAAAUUGCAAAUGAAUUAUGGGGAAACCCAUACGCCGCAAGGCAUUUGUGAAGGUGCUGCAUGGUUGUCGUCAGCUCGUGCCGUGAGGUGUCGGCUUAAGUGCCAUAACGAGCGCAACCCUUAUCUUCAGUUACUAACAGGUCAUGCUGAGGACUCUGGAGAGACUGCCGUCGUAAGAUGUGAGGAAGGUGGGGAUGACGUCAAAUCAGCACGGCCCUUACGUCCGGGGCUACACACGUGUUACAAUGGGGGGUACAGAAGGCCGCUACCUGGUGACAGGAUGCCAAUCCCAAAAACCUCUCUCAGUUCGGAUCGAAGUCUGCAACCCGACUUCGUGAAGCUGGAUUCGCUAGUAAUCGCGCAUCAGCCAUGGCGCGGUGAAUACGUUCCCG
Molecule: ribosomal RNA, 1016 nt
Filed under: uncultured bacterium
Lineage: Bacteria
Description: bacterial SSU rRNA
Rfam family: Bacterial small subunit ribosomal RNA
Source: RNAcentral